RNAcentral lists this ribosomal RNA (253 nucleotides) under uncultured bacterium. Its description in RNAcentral is "partial 16S ribosomal RNA". It matches the Rfam family "Bacterial small subunit ribosomal RNA", at positions 524 to 776 of the family's 1533-position model. The record is from RNAcentral.
UACGAAGGGGGCGAGCGUUGUUCGGAAUUACUGGGCGUAAAGGGCGCGCAGGCGGCCUUAGAAGUCAGAUGUGAAAGCCCCGGGCUCAACCUGGGAAUGGCAUUUGAUACUCUGAGGCUGGAGUACGGGAGAGGAGAGUGGAAUUCCCAGUGUAGAGGUGAAAUUCGUAGAUAUUGGGAAGAACACCGGUGGCGAAGGCGGCUCUCUGGACCGUAACUGACGCUGAGGCGCGAAAGCGUGGGGGGCAAACAGG